UUGUACUGUGCCAUUCGAUCCUCUCCUAAAUGGAAAGGAUCGUAGCCUCUGAUGGCCUGAAUGGCUAGAGAUGUGUUCUUGCUCCCUGAAAUGUAGGAUCUGGGCAUUUGACUGUUUUUGGGGUUAUAGACUUGCAUAUUCUUCUUCGAUUUCAAUUUAAGAAAAUCUACUGAGCAUUCACUACUCUCUGUGUUCAUCCUUCUCUACCAUUUUAUCUACCAUAAAGCUUCAACCUUUAUCUGUUAAUCAACCUAAGAAACCAUGCCUAAUACCAUUUGAAUAGGUAUUGGGACGUUGUUUGGAACAGAGCUGGAGGUGACGAUGUGGUGGAAAAAUAGCCACCACCACCACUGGUCCAAAUCCGACGGCGCGCGCUGUAGCAUCUGCGUGAAUGUCCCCGCACAACUGGACUCCGGGACGUUUUCCAAAUAAACUUCAGACUCCAAAGGGUGCGGCUGAAAGGGUAGAAUCUGAGGCAAUCAAAUCCAAUCCAGGGAAGAGAUUGGAUAAUUUCUGAGGCUAAUCCGGAGAAUACAGUUGGGGUAUUGACAAUGGCAGGCAAAGGGGUUCGGGUUUUGGCUACUCCAACCUCUGAUCUUGUCAGGAUUUUGGCAUGCAUGCAAGGCAUAGUUCUCAAUUCAUAACUAAUUUGUUUGUGUGAUUCGAUUUGAAUUCGAAAUUUUACAUGUUUAUCUUAUUUGUAGAGUAGCUGAUGAAUCUUUAUCAAUGAAGCAGUUGGAAUGGUUUUGUUGAAUGU
This is a long non-coding RNA of Pyrus x bretschneideri (Chinese white pear), 757 nucleotides long. RefSeq lists it as uncharacterized. The record is from RefSeq and is a predicted model, not a curated record. NCBI's taxonomy places the organism in Eukaryota, Viridiplantae, Streptophyta, Magnoliopsida, Rosales, Rosaceae. The transcript is spliced from 3 exons.